Molecule: long non-coding RNA, 6555 nt
Organism: Corythoichthys intestinalis (scribbled pipefish)
Lineage: Eukaryota; Metazoa; Chordata; Actinopteri; Syngnathiformes; Syngnathidae
Exons: 3
Source: RefSeq, a predicted model, not a curated record
GGUAGCACUGGACCCCCCUAAAAUCUGAUUGGACCCCCCAGGUGCCACCCCAGAUGAUUGACAAUGACAUAUCGCGGCACCGACUGCUAAGUCCUUCCUGUACAGUAGUUGGCGCUAUGUACCUUAAAGCGUUGCAAAUUCGCUUUCAUGAGGAGAAGAAGAAUCGCCACUGAAACGGAGGAAGAUUUGAGAUUUGAGUACUUGGUCAUCGUUGACGGAACGGAACACGGAAGAUAAACAAAGUGACAAGAACAAACAAGGAGACGAACUUGGAUACCCUGCCUUCAAGCCACUGAAAUCCUCGUCGUAAUUUUUCCUUCCCCGUGAUUCUGCUUUCGUGGAUUCCUGCCGUUUUCGCAGUGAGAGCACUAUACCUUUUGGGCACAUGUUACCAAGAAUAUGAGCGCUCCAGAGCAGCACAGCUGCAGGAGCAGAAGUCUUAUCGCUUCCAGAGUUAAGGUGAAAGAGCAGCAGAAGGAUGAGACUCGAAAGCAGACGAGCAUGAGCCCUUCAGGCUCCCCUCACGACAUUCUGACUCCAUGGCUGACUUCAGUUCUAAAAGGGCCAAUCUUUGCAUUUCUAUAAGAGGAAACAUGUUGUCAUAAUCCACGCUUUAGUCAUCCCAAGGACGAUUAGUACGGUGCCCUUUCGACACAGCAGGUGACGCAUACUCUGACAGCUCAGUGCAUACUAAUGAGGGCUUAGGGCACUCUGCUAUUAUAGGUCACUUUUAAAGUCUGGGUCUAUGGUAAAUGAAGGAAAGGUUCAAAAUUAAAACAACUUACCCCGUAAACCUUCUGGUAAAAUGGUAAUAAAACAUGCAGAAACUAAUUUCCGACUGGGACAUGGCUCACGUUAUGCAAAAGCAAUCGAGGUAUCAAUGCAAAUUAUCAACAACUUCAGUUAUUGCAUAGGCUCUAAUGAAACAAAUACAACUGUAGUACACAUUGUAUUUCAUUAGUUGACACUCCAAGAGCCUGUAGGCUGCCAAUGUACAUACAGUCCCUGACAAAAAUCUUGUCGCUUAUCCAUUUUGUUGAAACAAUUGCUAAUAACCUGAAAGCUAAGACCCUCCCAAAUGAUGUUGAAUGUACAAAAAUAUAUUUGUUUCACUAAAAAAAGAUUUAUCAUUUAAUGAAGACUUAAGGUCAAAUUUUGGCAAGACAAGAAUUUCACCCCGCAGAUCUCUCGCACACCCCCACACUGGAUAUAACCCCAAACCAUGAUUUUGCCACCACCAAACUUCACUGUUUUCUGAGUGAAUCUCGGAUCCAUGCGGGCUCCAGUAGGUCUCCUGCAAUUUUUGCGGUGACUGUGGUGUAAUUCAUUGAAAGUUUGAUCUGAAAAUCCACCUUUUGCCACUUUUCCAGCGUCCAUCCUUUUGACAGGCUGUGGGCCUUGGCAAAUGCCACAUGGUUUUUUAAUUGUCUGCACCCCGAGAGAUCUGCAGGGUGGAAUGCAACAUAAAUAGUCUGAAAUAUCAACAAAUCUUAGCUGCCUCUUACAUUCAUAACCAUAAAAAGGGACAAAUUCUGCAGCAGGAUGGUGCUCCAUCGCAUUCUUCAAUCUUUACCUCAAAGUUCCUCAAGGCUAAGAAGAUCAAGAUUCUCUAGGACUGGCCAGCCCAGUCACCAGAUAUGAACAUCAUUUAGCAUCUAUGGGGUAGGAUAAAAGAAGAAGCAUGGAAGACGAAACCCGAGAAUGUUGAUGAACUCUGGGAGGCAUGCAAGACUGCUUUCUUUGAUGUUGCUGAUGACUUCAUCAAUAAAUUGUAUGAAUCCUUCCCUCCUUCAAGCCCAUGGAAGUCAUAUAAAAUAUUAAAUUUGGAUUUCACAGCACCACUACUUAAUUCGCUUCUGUUAUGUAACAUAUUUCUGUAUUUGAAGUACUUUUUUUGUUCAAUUUUCACACUACUUUCUGUAGGCGACAAAACUUUUGUCUUGCCAAAAUUUGACCUUUAUGUCUUAAUUAAAUGAUAAAUAUUUUUUCAGUGAAACAAAUAUAUUUUUGUACAUUCAACAUCAUUUUGUAGGGUCUUAGCUUUCAUAUGAGCCAUUUCUGAAACCAAUUGAAUAAUUAAAAGUCAGGUAAUUAGCAAUUGCUCCUACAAAAUGAGACUUUUGUCAGGGACUGUACACAUGAUCAGGCCCGGAGUGGCUAAUCGGGAGGAUCGGGACACUUCCCGGUGGGCCGGCCUGACGUUUGGUCCGGUGUGCUGGCAUAAAGUAGAUUUGUUCAACAUUAAGCUGCUAUCAACAGCAGAGAUACUAUUUCAACAAGGGAUACCCAUUCGUCAGAACAAGCACCUAAAACCUCCAGAAUGGAGGCUCCAGGCACUUCGUGCUUCUGUCGCGGCCGCCCGAAGCUCACUAUUUUGGGGGCACAAAGAGAGGAGGAUUGGGGCAAAAUUCACGUUCUCAGGCAAAACAUAACUUGGCAUGGCACUCUGAGGUGGACUGAUGGGCGCAAACUACCCUGAGAUGCACAGAUAUUCGAACUGUAUAAGUGCUUUGGGAAAUUGGGAGACAGCAGUUUUUGUGAGUUCAAUCAUGUUAUCGUUCACAUUAAAUGUUUUUUGUAUUUUUAUGUCAUAAGUAAUAUGAAACCACUGAUAACCAAUUAUAUAUUACAUUAAAGUAUAUACAAUACUGAUUGAAAAAUUUGAAUAUCAAGUAAAAGUUGUUUAAUUUAGGCAAUUUAACAUAAAAGAUUAAACCAUCAAAAUGGUAUAUGUGAAUUUGCAUAUAAUGGGUCAUCUAAAGCAGUUCCUCAUAACUUUUCUGAUUCUGAAGAUUUGUCAGCUUAUUAUAACCACAAAAGUAAAACAAACAAACAAAAAAUACGAUGAAAAGCUUCAGUUUUGUACACAGUUGACACAUGUGGAAUUCAAAACACCUACAAAAGGUUUCUGAGCCUUUAAAAAGUCAGUCUAAUAUAAACUCAAUUUAUAGAUCCCCAGUACCCCCCCCAAAUAAAUGGCAACUCCACACAGAACCCGUGCUUGAGCCCUUGAUCUCAGAACAGUCAGCAGACAUACUAACCACUCUUCUGCCAGGCUUCCUUUUUUACAAGUAAUUUGGGGAAAAUCUUUACAAGUAUAAAGUAAAACUCUUUUCUUGUUUUUAAUGAAGCUUACGUUUGAAUGAUGUAAGGUAAGCACAUUGGUGAACUCCUGCUCUAAUAAAUGUAUUUAAAAAUUGAAAUACAUAAUUUUUGCAUUGAAAAAAAUGCCACUAAUGGCAAGUGUACUAUUGACAGCAUGCGAUUUAAAAAAAAAAAUGAAUCGCUUGACAGCAUGAUUACCGUAUUGGCUUGAAUAUAAGACGGUGUUUUUUGCAUUGAAAUAAGACUGAAAAAGAGGAGGUCGUCUUAUAUUCGCGGUCUAGACAUUAUACCCAUUCACGACGCUAGAUGGCGGCAGAUAUCAUUGAAGCGAUGUUCUUUCAUGACAAAUCUCAGCUACUCUCCCCAUUCACGACGCUAGAUGGCGCCAGAUAUCAUUUAAGCGAUAUUCUGUCAUGACAGAUCUCAGCUACUCUCAAGUUUAACCAGUUUGCAUUAUUUUAUUGCAAUGUUUUUCCUUCCUUCCUUUCCUUUCCUUUCCUUAUUCAGAUUUGUUUUAAGACUGCAGUUACAGUUAGACUUCACUUUGAUGGUAAAUGCAGUUAUUGCAAUUUUCUUGUUUUAUCAAAAUAGAUUGGUUUAUUUACAUUUCAAAAACCAGAAGCCAUUCAUUUACGAAUGUGAUUGCACUUUACAUAUUUAAAUGUUCAAAUAUUAAGAUUUGAAUGAGGCAAAAUAACAUGCUUUUUCUCUCAAAUAUAUUGUUAUAGUCAUUUGUUUCGGAUGUACUGUAAUUAUUUUCUGUAUAAAAAUUAAUUUGGUGUUCAAAAAGUCUUUUUUCAAAUUUGAGUCUUGAAAAAGAGGCGGUCGUCUUUUAAUCAGGGCCGUCUUAUAUUCGGGCCAAUACGGAAUUAUUACACUAUUUCACUACGGUAGGUCAUGAUAUAAAGUGGGCCGGUCUGUGGCAUGAAACUCCCGGUAACUCAAGCGAAGUUGAUAGUACAGCCAUGAAGUUGAAUGUUGAAAUGAAGACCGCCAGAACUAUCAAACCAAAUGUUCCAUCAAAAACUUGAGUUAGUUACAUACAAUAAUAAGUUAUAUAUAAUCAUGAAAUGAGGAAUGAUAUUUCUUUGAAUAUAUCUUGUUUUGUUCCAUUACAUUAAGAUUUGUACUGUAUUAUCCAAAAUAGAAAAUCAAAAACAAGACUUCAACUGAUUGCAAUGGGAUUGACAUGAUAAUUGUAAAAAAUGUAAUACAUAGUAUAGUAAAUCCACUAACCUACAUCUGCAACUUCUCUUUUAGUACUGGAGUUUUUCCACAGAAAAUGAAAACGGCCAAAGUCAUUCCACUUUAUAAAACAGGUGAUAGCAAAUUAUAUUCCAGUUAUCACUCAAUGUCUUUAUUGUGCCAGUUCUCAAAAGUACUGGAGAAAGUGUUUGAAAAGAGACUUAAAAUUUUCUUUUUUCAACUGCACUUGCAUUGCUUGACCGUACUGAAGCAAUAACCAUGAUAUAUUACUUGUGGAAAUGGAAAGAUACGGGUUUAGAGGCAUUGUUCUGGAAUGGUUAAAAAGUUACAUGGGAAAUCGCAAACAGUACAAACAGAUUGGUGAUUACAGAUCAUCAUUAUUGGACAUUACAGUUGGAGUACCACAGGGCUCUGUAAUGGGUCCAGAACUCUUUACACUAUUUAUCAAUGACUUAUGUAUGACAUCUAAAAAAGUUAAAAUUUUUACUCUUUGCAGAUGACACUAACAUUCUAUGCUCAGGAAAAAUGUUAUAGAAUCUGAUGCAUGAGGUAAUGACUGAAUUAACAUAUCUGAAUCACUGGUUCAGGCUAAACAAAUUAUCAAUAAAUAUGGAAAAAACUAAUAUAUUUCAUUUGGAAAUAAAAUGACAAAAACUGAAGAUAAUUAUAGACAAUAGCGAAAUUGAGCGAGUAACUGAGACUAAAUUUUCUAGGUGUAAUACUGGAUGAACAAAUGAAUUGGAAGUCACAUUAGUAAUGCCAUACCUCAGCUACUGUGUGGAGGUUUGGGGCAAUACAUAUCCCAGCAAUUUAUGGUAACUUGUGGUACUUCAAAAUAAAGGCAAUAAGAAUAGUACACAAGGCUAAAUACCUUGAACAUACAGAUAGACUGUUCUUGGAAUCCAAGCAGUUAAAAUUCCUGGAUCUAGUCAAAUUCAAAAUGGCCAUAAUCAUGUUUAAGGCACAGAAAAACGCAUUACCUGGAAAUAUUUUAAGUUUUGUUUUCAAAUAGACAAGGAGGGUAUCAUCUGAGAGGGGAGUUAAACUUCAAAAAGCAAUAUCACCGUACAACAAAAAAGAGCUUCUGUCCUUCAAUUUGUGGUGUGGACAUGUGGAACAAACUUACUGAGGACCUAAAGAAAAGCGCUAAUUUGAGCGUGUUUAAGAGAAAAUACUAGGAUCUUGUUUUCUGUAAUUAUAGAAAUGAAUCAUAGUAUUUAUGUUAAGAAAAUGUUGAGUGAUGCCAACCUUUGUUCUUUAGGCAUUAUUGAACUGUUGUGAAUUGUAUUUGUUUUGUCUGAUUCAUGCUGAUGAGUAUGUAGCAGACAAAGGGGUAGGAUUUAUGUUUUUUUUACUUCUCCCAACUCCUUUUCGAGUCUUAUGUUUUGUUUGUAUUCUUGUAUAUCUCUAAUGUGAUGCAUGUUUUCGAAAUAAAUUCAAUCAAUCAAUCAAUAACAGGAACGUUGUAAUUGGGUAUGGCUAGCUGGCCCCAAAAAAUGAUCUUUUUUUUUUUCGCAUAUCAUCGGAUUUUGAUACUCUUCACAAUUUUUAAAACUUGGUUUUCAUGUUUCUCUCUUUUUGUUUUGUUUUUGUACAAUUUUUAAAAUAUAAUUUUGUGUCCCACACUGUAUAUUGGCAUUGAAAUAGCAAUUGAAAAAAUGAAAUGCAUUUUACUUUAUAAUUCAUUCAUUUUCCACGCCGCUUUUUCCUCACGAGGGUCGCGGAGGUGCUGGAGCCUAUCCCAGCUAACAAUGGGCAGUAGGCAGGGGACACCCUGAACUGGUUGCCAGCCAAUCGCACAAGGAAACAUACAACCAUUCAUGCACACACUCAUACCUACGGACAAUUUAGAGUGUUCAAUCAGCCUACCAUGCAUGUUUUUGGGAUGUGGGAGGAAACCGGAGUUCCCGGAGGAAACCCACGCAGGCACGGGGAGAACAUGCAAACUCCACACAGGAAGGCCGAAGCCCGGGAUUGAACCCUUAAUCUCAGAACUGUGAGGCAGACGUGCUAACCACUCAGCCACCGUGCCGCCUUACUUUAUAAUAUUUGUAAUUUUAUUUAUUUCAUUGUGUUUAGCUUUACAGUUCACCUCACCUGUUGGGUUAUAAACAGCUUAAAAACUAUAAACAUUAGACUCCUUUUGAGGGACUGCUCAAAAUCUGCCAAACUAGUCAAUUUGAAUAUGCAUAUGUUUGAUUAAAUGUGACAUGGCUGAUCACCAAUAUCGAUUAAAAAUUUGUC